CCUCGUCGCACUGCUGCGGGCAGAUGAAGUGAACAUGGGUGUCGACCCCCCCCGCCGUGACGAUCAUCCCCUCCGCGGCGAUGACUUCCGUGGUCGGCCCGACGAUCAUCGUGGGUGUGACCCCGGCCAUCACAUCCGGGUUCCCGGCCUUGCCGAUCGCCGCGAUGUGACCGUGUUUGAUGCCGAUGUCGGCCUUGUAGAUGCCCGUCCAGUCCAGGAUGACGGCGUUGGUCAGGACGCAGUCGAGCGCUUCCUCCUGCGUCGCCCCCGCGCGCUGCCCCAUGCCAUCGCGCAGG
This 296-nucleotide small RNA is filed under the name Chondromyces crocatus. Its description in RNAcentral is "5' ureB small RNA". It matches the Rfam family "5' ureB small RNA". The record is from Rfam by way of RNAcentral. Lineage: Bacteria; Pseudomonadati; Myxococcota; Polyangiales; Polyangiaceae.